RNAcentral lists this non-coding RNA (46 nucleotides) under Schistosoma mattheei. The record is from RNAcentral. Lineage: Eukaryota; Metazoa; Platyhelminthes; Trematoda; Strigeidida; Schistosomatidae.
GCACUGCUGAAGAGUUCUACAAUUGGACGAAACGGCUGUCCAGUGC